GGCGGCCGAGUUGGAGUACGAGUCUGUGCUGUGUGUGAAGCCGGACGUCAGCGUCUACCGGAUUCCGCCCCGGGCCUCCAACCGCGGUUACAGGGCAUCUGACUGGAAAUUAGACCAGCCUGAUUGGACUGGUCGCCUCCGAAUCACUUCAAAAGGGAAGACUGCCUAUAUCAAACUCGAGGAUAAAGUUUCAGGGGAGCUCUUUGCUCAGGCACCAGUAGAACAAUAUCCUGGUAUUGCUGUGGAGACAGUGACAGAUUCCAGCCGCUACUUUGUAAUCCGGAUCCAGGAUGGUACUGGUAAGAGAACUGGGAUUUUGAGUGGAACGCAGCCAUGAAAAGUGUGUCUGAUUGCAUUUAUCUUUCUUUGGUUUACUUCAUUUUUUCUUCCCUUUCUCUAAAGUUGCUAUAGUUGCUAAAGGAAAAGUAUUAACGUGUUAUUUGUAAUAGAUAAGCACAAGUUCAAGAUGUGGUAAUUCAUAUGUAGACUUAAAUAAAUCAAAAACACAUAGCUAACAAAUGAAUUAACACAUUUUGCACUUUAGGAGGCCGAGGUGGGUGGAUCACCUGAGGUCAGGAGUUCGAGGCCAGCCUGACCAGUAUGAUGAAACCCCGUCGCUACUGAAAAUACAAAACUUAGCCAGGCGUGGUGGCAGGUGCCUGUAAUCCCAGCUACUCGGGUGGCUGAGACAGGAGAAUCGCUUGAAUUGGGGAAGUGGAGGUUGCUGAGAUCAUGCCAUUGCACUCCAGCCUGGGCAACAAGAGCGAAACUCCAUCUCAAAAAAAAAAAAAAAACCACACACUUCUUGCCUGUUUAUUGUUUGUGGUAGUUUUUGGUGGGACUAUCUUGAAUCAUCUUACGUGUGGGGCAGUUAUUCUUACUCUUUUCUCCAUGGUCUAUAACAGAGGUUGGCAAACAGACAAAUAAUAAAUAUUUUAGGUUUUGCAGGUCAAGUGGCCUCUGUUGCAACUACUCAGUUUUGCUGUUGUAGUGUGAAAGCACUGUAGAAAAUAUGUAAACACGUUGAUAUCACUGUGUUCCAUGAAACUUUUUCUACAAAACCAAGCUAUGGCAGGAUAAAGCCCAUGGGCUCUAUGUAGUUUAUCGACUCUUGGUCUAUGAGAAGAUGUUUCACAUUCAGACUUUGUCUAGUUAGGGUGACUGUUAUGUUUUCAUUGGGCAAAAUUUGCCGUAGAGCAGCAGUCCUCAACCUUUUUGGCACCAGGGACCCGUUUUGUGGAAGACAGUUUUCCACAGACCGGCAUUAGGGGAUGGUUUCAGGAUGAUUCAAGUGCAUCACAUUUAUUGUACACUUUAUUUCUAUUAUUAUUACAUUGUAAUGUAUAAUGAAAUAAUUAUACAACUCACUAUAAUGUAGAAUCAGUGGGAGCCUUGAGCUUGUUUUCCCCCAACUAGACGGGGGUGAUGGGAGACCCCCAUCUGGGGGUGAUGGGAGACAGUGACAGAUCAUCAGGCAUCAGAUUCUCAUAGGGAGCACAUAACCUAGAUCCCUCACAUGUGCAGUUCACAGUAGGGGUCACACCCCUCUGAGAAUCUAAUGCUGCCACUGAUCUGACAGGAGGCAGAGCUCAGGUGCUAAUGCAAGUGAUGGGGAGCGGCUGUAAAUACAAUGAAGCUUUGCUCUCUUGUGUACAACUCACCUCCUGCUGCAUGGCCUGGUUUCUCACAGGCCACAGACUGGUGCCGGGGGUUGGGGGCUCCUGCCAUAGAGGAUACUUCUUAGUUGAGUCUUCCUACCUUUUCCACAGGGCGCAGUGCUUUCAUUGGCAUUGGCUUCACAGAUCGGGGAGAUGCCUUCGACUUUAAUGUCUCCUUGCAGGAUCACUUCAAGUGGGUAAAGCAGGAAUCUGAGAUUUCCAAGGAAUCUCAAGAAAUGGAUGCUCGUCCUAAGUUGGAUCUGGGCUUCAAGGAAGGACAAACCAUCAAGUUGAGUAUCGGGAACAUUACAAACAAGAAAGGAGGUGCUUCCAAGCCCAGGACUGCAAGGGGUGGGGGCCUGAGCUUACUCCCACCCCCGCCAGGAGGCAAAGUCACUAUUCCCCCACCAUCCUCCUCAGUUGCCAUCAGCAAUCAUGUCACCCCACCACCCAUUCCGAAAUCUAACCAUGGAGGCAGUGAUGCAGAUAUCCUUUUAGAUUUGGAUUCUCCUGCUCCUGUCACGACACCAGCACCAACUCCAGUUUCUGCAAGCAAUGACUUGUGGGGAGACUUCAGCACUGCAUCCAGCUCUGUUCCAAACCAGGCACCACAGCCAUCCAACUGGGUCCAGUUCUGAAUGGCAUUGGCAGGACAUUAAGGACAGACUUGAGGAAUAAAAAUGACCUUGAGGGCACCAAUCUGUGAGGGAAGUUAGGAACCCAUUUCCUCCCCAGAAUCAAAAUGACUGGACAAUCUUUUUCGUAGCUUCUCCAUCACAUUCAAGCUGGUUUAUGUCACUCCCCUGUGUUGUUACUUGUACAGCCAAGAAAGUAUCUGUUAAUCUCCUGCUUAGUACCAAGGUAGGGGACUAGUGAAUCUUAUCAUAGUUUUGGCUGACUAUGCAGGGCUCAAAAGGCCAGCGUCUGUUUGAGGGGGAAUGACCUCUGACAUCUGUAAAAUUUGUCUCAUCUUUUAAAUUCUUUAACUUAUUUCAAAAUCAUCUCAUGACCCUCGUGUGCCUCUUUGUGAAGCCCUAUUUAGCAAUUUCAGGGGAGUCAAAAACCUUGCAACUUCCUUCUCCACUAACCCAGGACUAAAAAUGGACAGGCUGACCUUAGUGUUUACAAAUUCAGAAUUUUGAUAGGGGUAGAUAUGGAGAAAGACCUAUUUCCUGGGUCUCUGCUGUGUAGUCUCCUUCAGGCUUAUUGUACACAGUGAACAUCCAGUGCUGGGUGCAGCUCCAUCACCCUCUUGUGUGUUUACAUGUCUCUUUCUAUGAUAAGAGGGUUGUGUUGGUGGCACCUCCACUACUCUUUUCUGUUUGUUGAAUUUGAAUUGUGUAACAUCUUUGACCAGUGGGUGUUUCUGUAAUGAAGGAGGUUCAAGAGGCUGUGCUUUCCAAGUGAUAGUCUAUAGGAAUGUUUGAUUUCUUGCAGCUCCAUCUGGUUGCUGCAUUUGAAGCAUGGCAUUAAUUUGUAUUUGCCCUGUUGUUUGACCUUAAGUUGAAGGGUUUAGAGUUUUUAACCUGAUCUGUAGAGCAGAGAGGUUGAAAGCACUUAACUCUUGUUUAGUAUCCUCAUUGCCUUGCUGCCUGGGUAUCUGGCCCCUUUUCAUAAACAUUUCUUUUCAGUUCAUGUAGUUCUUUAAUAGAAAGCUGCUAUUAUGUAUAUUGUCAUUUGUGAAGGAAGUUGGAGAGUCACAGAUUUACUGUGACAGGUUUUGCCCAAGUCUGUGAUACCUGUCACCCAGGGUAUCUUAAAAGCAAGUUGUUCUCCCACUACUUUCCUUUCCCUCUGCCCUGCCAUUCCUUUUACAAUGCUGUGAAAAAAGUUCUGCUUCUUAGGUGAAUGGGUACUUUCUAUUUUGUUUCUAAAUGAGCAAUUUUGAGGAUGAAAUGGGAAGAUAUCAUUUCUUCCUUUUUGCACCUAUUAGGUAUGUACACUCUCUGGCUGAAGGGAGUCCUUAUGUUUAGUUUCAAAAUAUAUUACUUUCCUGGAUUCCCUUCUUAACGUUUUCUGACUUUGGGUCCAUUUUCUUUUCAUUGCCUCCUUUUCCAGGCAGCUCUAUUCUUGCAGAGCCAUGGCAGGACAUAUUAAAAUUCCAGUAGAAAACACUAAAAGGAAAGUCUGUAGAAUCACUAGUGACUAAAUACUGGGAACCUAUUUUCUCAAUCUUCCUCCAUGUUGUGUUCUUUGUAUUCUCAAGAUGAUAAUAUAUUAUGUAUUUGAAUUCCUGAAAAAUGGAAAAUGUUUAAGAUAUAUGUAUAUAAAGCAUAUGCUGUAUU
Molecule: small RNA, 3943 nt
Filed under: Pongo abelii (Sumatran orangutan)
Lineage: Eukaryota; Metazoa; Chordata; Mammalia; Primates; Hominidae
Description: retained intron
Source: RNAcentral